CAACGCAUUUUGGAGGAAUUCUAUAUUGUCACACUUGCACUACGUCAUUAAUAACAAACUAAUUAUAUUCAUUUUUUUUAAACAAAAGUACAAUAAAAAUAUUUUUUUACAAUCAUGAUGGGAUAUAUAUUCUUAAAAGAAUUAAUUUGAUUGAUUUGUUACGCCACGUCACUAAUAUACCGGUUGCAUUUUAAAAUUUUUCUGCAUUUUGACCCCUCUAUCAGUAUUUGCC
RNAcentral lists this long non-coding RNA (232 nucleotides) under Ananas comosus (pineapple). Its description in RNAcentral is "long non-coding RNA (ACOM_LNC014624)". Lineage: Eukaryota; Viridiplantae; Streptophyta; Magnoliopsida; Poales; Bromeliaceae. The record is from RNAcentral.